Molecule: ribosomal RNA, 408 nt
Filed under: uncultured bacterium
Lineage: Bacteria
Description: bacterial SSU rRNA
Rfam family: Bacterial small subunit ribosomal RNA
Source: RNAcentral
CAUGGCUCAGGAUGAACGCUGGCGGCGUGCCUAAUACAUGCAAGUCGAACGAGGUGCUUUUGUAGCAAUACGAGAGUAUCCUAGUGGCGAACGGGUGAGUAACGCGUUGGUGACCUGCCCCAAAGUGUGGGAUAACAGUCCGAAAGGAUUGCUAAUACCGCAUGUGGUCCUCGGAUUUAGAAACCGAUGACUAAAGCCGUAAGGCGCUUUGGGAGGGACCUGCGUCCCAUCAGCUAGUUGGUGAGGUAACGGCCCACCAAGGCUACGACGGGUAGGGGACCUGAGAGGGUGGCCCCCCACAAUGGAACUGAAACACGGUCCAUACACCUACGGGUGGCAGCAGUAGGGAAUAUUGCACAAUGGGCGAAAGCCUGAUGCAGCAACGCCGCGUGAGCGAUGAAGGCCUUC